Molecule: ribosomal RNA, 253 nt
Filed under: uncultured bacterium
Lineage: Bacteria
Description: partial 16S ribosomal RNA
Rfam family: Bacterial small subunit ribosomal RNA
Source: RNAcentral
UACGUAGGGUGCGAGCGUUGUCCGGAAUUAUUGGGCGUAAAGAGCUCGUAGGCGGUUUGGUAGGUCGGAUGUGAAAGCCCCGGGCUCAACCCGGGAAUUGCAUCCGAAACCACCUCACUCGAGUGUGGGAGAGGGAAGCGGAAUUCCUGGUGUAGAGGUGAAAUUCGUAGAUAUCAGGAGGAACACCGGCGGCGAAGGCGGCUUCCUGGCCCAUUACUGACGUUCAGGUACGAAAGCGUGGGGAGCAAACAGG